Molecule: ribosomal RNA, 238 nt
Filed under: uncultured bacterium
Lineage: Bacteria
Description: partial 16S ribosomal RNA
Rfam family: Bacterial small subunit ribosomal RNA
Source: RNAcentral
UUCGGGUGUCAGCGGCAGACGGGUGAGUAACACGUGGGAACGUACCCUUCGGUUCGGAAUAACGCUGGGAAACUAGCGCUAAUACCGGAUACGCCCUUAUGGGGAAAGGUUUACUGCCGAAGGAUCGGCCCGCGUCUGAUUAGCUAGUUGGUGGGGUAACGGCCUACCAAGGCGACGAUCAGUAGCUGGUCUGAGAGGAUGAUCAGCCACACUGGGACUGAGACACGGCCCAGACUCC